UGGAUCUAGAGUCCGUGAAAAGCAUGUAUAUGGAAGUAUCUAUAACACUUCAUAAUGCAGUAACUAUCCCACUAUGAGUUGUGUGCUUAGGAAUAUCAAGUGGGUAUAGUCUGGUUCUAUUUAAUAAUUUCGGUUUACUGACCUUAUCUAUGUGGGAGAUCGAAACAUUGCACUUUUCUUAAUAAAUCUGCUGUUUAACCCCUUAAGGACCAAACUUCUGGAAUAAAAGGGAAUCAUGACAUGUCACACAUGUCAUGUGUCAUUAAG
Molecule: non-coding RNA, 267 nt
Organism: Pelobates cultripes (western spadefoot toad)
Lineage: Eukaryota; Metazoa; Chordata; Amphibia; Anura; Pelobatidae
Source: the annotation of a GenBank genome assembly